AGAGUUUGAUCCUGGCUCAGGAUGAACGCUGGCGGUCUGCUUAACACAUACAAGUCAAACGGACUCUUCGGAGUUAGUGGCGGACGGGUGAGUAACGCGUGAGAAUCUACCUUCAGGACGGAGACAACAGUUGGAAACGACUGCUAACCCCCGAUGAACCGAAAGGGCAAAUAUUUAUAGCCUGAAGAAGAGCUCGCGUCCGAUUAGCUAGUUGGAGAGGUAAAAGCUCACCAAGGCGACGAUCGGUAGCUGGUCUGAGAGGACGAUCAGCCACACUGGGACUGAGACACGGCCCAGACUCCUACGGGAGGCAGCAGUGGGGAAUUUUCCGCAAUGGGCGAAAGCCUGACGGAGCAAUACCGCGUGAGAGAUGACGGCCUAUGGGUUGUAAACCUCUUUUUUCAGGGAGGAAGAAAAUGACGUGUACCUGAAGAAUAGCUCGACUCGCGUG
RNAcentral lists this ribosomal RNA (451 nucleotides) under uncultured cyanobacterium. RNAcentral's name for it is "bacterial SSU rRNA". It matches the Rfam family "Bacterial small subunit ribosomal RNA", at positions 8 to 507 of the family's 1533-position model. The record is from RNAcentral. Lineage: Bacteria; Bacillati; Cyanobacteriota.